CCUACGGGUGGCAGCAGUGAGGAAUAUUGGUCAAUGGACGCAAGCCUGACCCAGCCAAGCCGCGUGAAGGAAGACGGCUCUAUGGGUUGUAAACUCCUUUUACAUGGGAAUAAAGUUCAGUAUGUCUACCGAAUUAUAUGUACCUUAUUAAGUAGGAGCGGCUAACUCCGUGCCAGCAGCCGCGGUAAUAUGGAGGAUCCGUGCGUUAACCGGAUUUAUUGGGUGUAAAGGGAGCGUAGGUGGACUUUUAAGUCAGUUGUGAAAGUUUGCGGCUCAACCGUAAAAUUGCAGUUGAUACUGGUUGUCUUGAGUGCUGCAGAGGUAGGCGGAAUUCCUGGUGUAGCGGUGAAAUGCUUAGAUAUCACGAGGAACUCCGAUUGCGAAGGCAGCUUACUGGACAGUAACUGACGCUGAUGCUCGAAAGUGUGGGGAUCAAACAGGAUUAGAUACCCUUGUAGUC
RNAcentral lists this ribosomal RNA (460 nucleotides) under uncultured bacterium. RNAcentral describes it as "partial 16S ribosomal RNA". It matches the Rfam family "Bacterial small subunit ribosomal RNA", at positions 338 to 795 of the family's 1533-position model. The record is from RNAcentral.